RNAcentral lists this ribosomal RNA (423 nucleotides) under Mogibacterium timidum. RNAcentral's name for it is "bacterial SSU rRNA". It matches the Rfam family "Bacterial small subunit ribosomal RNA", at positions 28 to 432 of the family's 1533-position model. Lineage: Bacteria; Bacillati; Bacillota; Clostridia; Peptostreptococcales; Anaerovoracaceae. The record is from RNAcentral.
GAUGAACGCUGGCGGCGUGCCUAAUACAUGCAAGUCGAGCGAGAAGCUUGGAAAUGACGCUUCGGUUGAUUUUCCAAGCGGACAGCGGCGGACGGGUGAGUAACGCGUAGGCAACCUGCCCCUGACAGAGGGAUAGCCAUUGGAAACGAUGAUUAAAACCUCAUGACACCGUAGUAGCACAUGCUACAUCGGUCAAAGAUUUAUCGGUCAGGGAUGGGCCUGCGUCUGAUUAACUGGUUGGUGAGGUAACGGCUCACCAAGGUGACGAUCAGUAGCCGACCUGAGAGGGUGAUCGGCCACAUUGGAACUGAGACACGGUCCAAACUUCUACGGAAGGCAGCAGUAGGGAAUCUUGCACAAUGGGCGAAAGCCUGAUGCAGCAACGCCGCGUGAAGGAUGAAGGCCUUCGGGGUUGUAAAACUU